UCCAAGGCUACUUUUCUUGUAGAUAGAGGGAUCUUACUUGGUGUAACCAAUGGAGAAGCUUGAGCUGGUGCUUAAGCUGCCUUCUUCCUCCAUUCCUCGGCCUCCAAAGACCUGACAGAUUUUCUUCUCUGCGAUAAUCUCAUUUUGGGGGCCAUUGUCCCAAGGAGAGGAGGAAAAUCAGUCAAGAGGGUAGAGAGGGAUGAGAGAUGGAAGAAAAUGAAGAGGAGAAGAGAGUUUAGGAGAGUUUCUCAUGGAUUUUACAGGUUAGGAUUUGAAAUUUGGUGGAGAUCAAGAGGAUAAGUCAUGAGAGAGAGAGAGCUUAAGGGUUUGAGAUGAAAAUCCAAAGUUUUGAGGUCAGUGGAGAUCUAAAAGGAGAUUUUUAGGUUUGGGAUGAGAG
This 397-nucleotide long non-coding RNA is filed under the name Elaeis guineensis (African oil palm). RNAcentral's name for it is "long non-coding RNA (EGUI_LNC071350)". The record is from RNAcentral. Lineage: Eukaryota; Viridiplantae; Streptophyta; Magnoliopsida; Arecales; Arecaceae.